Molecule: ribosomal RNA, 492 nt
Filed under: Triticum aestivum (bread wheat)
Lineage: Eukaryota; Viridiplantae; Streptophyta; Magnoliopsida; Poales; Poaceae
Description: partial small subunit ribosomal RNA
Source: RNAcentral
UUGAAGCUCCAACUAUACGUGCAGCAGCCCGUUGUCAGCCAUCCCUGCGCCAAGCUUGCCUUCAAGUUCUUCAGGCCGUACACCGUCGUCGAGAAGAUCGGGCUCAUGGCGUACAAGCUCAACCUGCCCGCGUCCAGUCGGGUGCACCCAGUCUUCCACGUCUCCCAGCUAAAGCUGUUCACACCAGACUAUACGCCGGUGUACGCGGAACUGCCACGGGUGCCUGACCUGUCCUUGGCCGGCAUGGCACCAACACGCAUCCUGGAGCGCCGGAUGAUGAAGAGGGGCAAUGCACCGGUGGUUCAGAUUAAGGUGCAGUGGGGCGACAGUUCACCGUACGCAGUCACCUGGGAGGAUUUCGACGUGCUGCGCAAACGCUUUCCUGCCGCUGCAAUCUGGGAGGUUGAAGACGCAAGCUCACAGGAGGAGGCUGGAUCGCAAGGUGGGGAGAAUGUCACGCCUGGCCACUUGGCCACCACUUGUCCAGCGUGA